AGUGAACGCUGGCGGUAGGCCUAACACAUGCAAGUCGAACGGCAGCACAGUAAGAGCUUGCCCUUACGGGUGGCGAGUGGCGGACGGGUGAGGAAUACAUCGGAAUCUACUUUUUCGUGGGGGAUAACGUAGGGAAACUUACGCUAAUACCGCAUACGACCUACGGGUGAAAGCAGGGGAUCUUCGGACCUUGCGCGAUUGAAUGAGCCGAUGUCGGAUUAGCUAGUUGGCGGGGUAAAGGCCCACCAAGGCGACGAUCCGUAGCUGGUCUGAGAGGAUGAUCAGCCACACUAGAACUGAGACGCGGUCCAGACUCCUACGAGAGGCAGCAGUGGGGAAUAUUGGACAAUGGGCGCAAGCCUGAUCCAGCCAUACCGCGUGGGUGAAGAAGGCCUUCGGGUUGUAAAGCCCUUUUGUUGGGAAAGAAAAGCAGCAGGUUAAUACCCCGCUGUUCUGACGGUACCCAAAGAAUAAGCACCGGCUAACUUCGUG
RNAcentral lists this ribosomal RNA (492 nucleotides) under uncultured bacterium. Its description in RNAcentral is "partial 16S ribosomal RNA". It matches the Rfam family "Bacterial small subunit ribosomal RNA", at positions 29 to 507 of the family's 1533-position model. The record is from RNAcentral.